CGGACGGGUGAGUAAUGUCUGGGAAACUGCCUGAUGGAGGGGGAUAACUACUGGAAACGGUAGCUAAUACCGCAUAACGUCGCAAGACCAAAGAGGGGGACCUUCGGGCCUCUUGCCAUCGGAUGUGCCCAGAUGGGAUUAGCUAGUAGGUGGGGUAACGGCUCACCUAGGCGACGAUCCCUGGCUGGUCUGAGAGGAUGACCAGCCACACUGGAACUGAGACACGGUCCAG
Molecule: ribosomal RNA, 232 nt
Filed under: uncultured bacterium
Lineage: Bacteria
Description: partial 16S ribosomal RNA
Rfam family: Bacterial small subunit ribosomal RNA
Source: RNAcentral